RNAcentral lists this ribosomal RNA (253 nucleotides) under uncultured bacterium. RNAcentral's name for it is "partial 16S ribosomal RNA". It matches the Rfam family "Bacterial small subunit ribosomal RNA", at positions 524 to 776 of the family's 1533-position model. The record is from RNAcentral.
UACGUAGGGUGCAAGCGUUGUCCGGAAUUAUUGGGCGUAAAGGGCUCGUAGGCGGUCCAUCACGUCGGGAGUGAAAAGCUGGGGCUUAACCCCAGUCCUGCUUCCGAUACGGGUGGACUAGAGGUAGGCAGGGGAGAACGGAAUUCCCAGUGUAGCGGUGAAAUGCGUAGAUAUUGGGAGGAACACCAGUGGCGAAGGCGGCUACCUGGACCGGUUCUGACGCUGAUGCGCGAAAGCGUGGGUAGCAAACAGG